Molecule: small RNA, 129 nt
Filed under: Gammaproteobacteria bacterium
Lineage: Bacteria; Pseudomonadati; Pseudomonadota; Gammaproteobacteria
Description: RtT sRNA
Rfam family: RtT RNA
About the family: This family represents a bacterial cis-regulatory element known as RtT RNA. The exact function of RtT is unknown although it is thought that it may be involved in changing the cellular response in relation to amino acid starvation.
Source: RNAcentral
UCGUCAGGCCAUGGUGACAGGUUUUGACUCCGGCAUUCGUAGGUUCGACAAGGCGCGUAGCGCCGCAGAUCGCCGCCGUGGCGGCGACCCGAAGGGCGAGCGAAGCGAGUAAUCCUGCCGCCCUGGCCG